GGGGUGCGCGUGGAGCCCGCCCCUCGGGCUGACCGCGUGGGGCCCGCACAGCGCCCUCCCUUCCCCCAACGCCCCGCGCCCGCGGGUCCUCGGUCUGCGCCUCGCCCAGCCGCUCGGGUCCCAUCGCCGCCCUCCCGGUGCCCAACAUCUCAGAAUCUACACCUCUUUUUUAGUUAAAACAACAAGAUAGGUUUUCAGAUGCCUGGAUCGCCCUGGGCUUCUAGAGGAACCGACUCAUUCUGCUCCCCCCCCUCCCUUUCUAACCCCCUUUUGUGGUCCACAGGGUUGUUUUAAGCAAAACCAAACAACCCCUCCAAAAAAAAAAAAAAAAAAAAAUGCAAACGAAAAAUUCCGGGUAAAAGCAACUAUGCCGAGACCACGUUUUCGUUGAAGCUGCCCUAAGACCAAAGAAGCCGAGACCGACCUUGAAGGAUUAGCGAUUUCUGUAACUGAAAUGUUCUAAUUUUACUGACGUUUGGUGGAGACGGUGAGAAAGAAUACAUGAGAGUUUGGCUUGGAAAAGGACAAAACAAACGAAUAAUCAUAUCUAACUUGGUUAACUGAAAAACCUAACAGCUGUAGUCCUGUCUUCUAGGCAGUGGUGUUUUGGGUUUCCUUGCUAAAGGUGGAGGGAAGGUGGUAGAGAGAAUGUAUUAACUAAUGGAAUAAAAUGGGACAGUAAUACAGGCAUGAAAUCCCACUGGAAAGAGCAAUAAGAACCUACUCUCCUCGCUCAAAUAAUCGGAAAGCAAAGCACAUGCUGAGAAAAUUACAAUAUACAAAAGUUAAGCGGGAUCCCUGGGUGGCGCAGCGGUUUGGUGCCUGCCUUUGGCCCAGGGCACGAUCCUGGAGACCUGGGAUCGAAUCCCACGUCGGGCUCCCAGUGCAUGGAGCCUGCUUCUCCCUCUGCCUCUGUCUCUGCCUCUCUCUCUCUCUGUGUGACUAUCAUAAAUAAAUAAAAAUUUAAAAAAAAAAUUUAAAAAAAAAAAAAAAAAAAAGUUAAGCCACAGAUUAUUAAUUUUCUUGUUAAAAUCUAAUAUCUAUGGGUUAAAAUAUUGUUCUUUUCCUUCCAAUUUUCCCAUGAAAGUUUGAAAUACAACCUAUUAAAAGCCAACAGACUUAAUGGCAUUUACAAGUACGUAAAACAGGUUUUGCUGAUUUUUUUAAAUAAUCUUACAGAUAAAUUAAGGAUAUCAGAGAGUUUGAUUUUAUGUAUAUAUAACUGAUUAGAGGUGGAAUAUUCAAACAAAUUCAUUUUGAAAACAAUACAAUUCAAGUAACUUGCCACAGAGUGGCCUUAUCAGAGUGACUAUGCAAUGUAAUAUGAAGUUGCAAGCUUUGGAUUUUGAAUUGAGCCAUGGAUAUACAAAUAUAAAUAUGCAAAUAAAUUACUGUUUUCAAAAAUCAAACUAGGGUGGAUAUAAAGUUAAGAAAGCAGAGUCUGUGGUGUAAAGGGAAGUCAAAGUAUUUAAAGCACUUGUAACCGGAAAAGCCUGUAUGAACCAGAAGAUAUCUAGAUUCACUAUAGUAAAUAGUUAACAUUUCUCUAAAAUAUGACUUCAGUAGUUAAUAUUUUGUCUUUGGAGGCAUAUACUGUUACCACUCUUUAUAAAAUGGAAAGACAAAGAGAUUUAGGCAAAGUAUACUGAGUCUAGCACUAGAAGACUCAAUGUGGAAAAUAUCUCCCCCUUUUUAUAUAUAUUCCAAAUUCUUGGAUCCCUUGUAUAAAUAAGUUUGGAUUUUUAUUGUAUAUUUAAUUAGGGAAUUGUACAGAGUAUCUUCUCUUUCAUAUGACUUUCAGUAGAACCUGUUUCAUAAUAAGACAAUUCUAUAAUUUUAAGGCUGGAAGAACUAUUUAGGAUCUAUUAGUUUCCCAUUUUAUAGUUGAGGAAAUUGAGGUCAGGGAAGGUCCAAUGCAGGUUCAGAGGCAGGGCUGUGGUGUGGCUAUCUUUGAAUGAAACCAUGUACCAAGUCCUGAGGGGGAGAUAGAGCAAAUACUUUUUUUUUCCUUAUUUUUGGUGAUAAGAAAACAGACCCAAGGUGAGGUUUGCCCAGACCCAAUACCAUUACUUUUUUUUGUUUUAAAGAACACCUACAGGGACGCCUGGGUGGCUCAGUGGUUGAGCAUCUGCUCCCCGCCUCGGGCGUGAUCCCGGAGUUCGGGGAUCGAGUCCUACAUCAGGCUCCCUCCGGAGCCUGCUUCUCCCCUUCUCCCCUGCCUAUGUCUCUGCCUCUCUUUGUGUGACUCUCAGGAAUGAAUAGGUAAAAUCUUUAAAACAAAACUAACAAACAAAAAAAAAAAACACCACGUAUAAUUAUCCUCAUGAAUGGUUCUGCAAAUCAUUGAAAGCUAAAGGCAAAAGCCUUGAGAGAAGAGACUUUGUUGGGCAAAGUGAUGGUUCAUUUCAGGAACUCUGCUCAGAAUCUCAAGCUAUCCUAAACUGAUAAAAUCA
This 2453-nucleotide long non-coding RNA is filed under the name Canis lupus familiaris (dog). RNAcentral's name for it is "lncRNA (ENSCAFG00040007408.1)". The record is from RNAcentral. Lineage: Eukaryota; Metazoa; Chordata; Mammalia; Carnivora; Canidae.